This 107-nucleotide small nuclear RNA is filed under the name Salvator merianae (Argentine black and white tegu). The record is from RNAcentral. Lineage: Eukaryota; Metazoa; Chordata; Lepidosauria; Squamata; Teiidae.
GUGCUUUCUCUGGCACCACGUAUACUAAAAUUGGAAUGAUGCAGAGAAGAUUAGCAUGGACCUUGUGCAAGGAUGACAUGGACAUUUGUGAAGUGUUCCAAAAAAGA